CAGAGGAAGACAAAGGAGGAACGGGAGCAGCUUGGGGAGUGUCUCGUUUGUUGAGCGUUUGAACCAGAAGAGGAUGCUGCUCUCUCACUCAUGAAGAGACGAGAGUUGUGUUCCCCGGCUGGGGCUGAUGGAGGAGCUCACUGUGUCUGAGCUCGGAAAGACUUUGUCUCACAAUGAUAGGACGAGCGGAAAGAAGGGAAAAUCCAUCACGGCAAACUGUUUGUGCUUCUGGUUGGGCUGGGCCCUAGAAGGGAGUGUGGGAGGCGUUUAGAAGCUUCACGUUUCUCACAUUGUUGCCCAAGGACACUUUGAGGUGAAAUGUUCGCAUGAUCCUCCGGACUAGGUUUAAACGUUGUAAUGAGCAGGUGGAAGGAUCCGCUGUUCAGAUCGCUGUUGCUCUGGUGAGAGACUGGAGCCCAGACACCGGAGACUGAACUGAAACGGCUGGUCAACGGUGUGUACGUGUAUUUGAAGCACAUGCAUUCAGAAUUGCCCUGAAUCACAUCAAGAGCGACAAGUGCUUGUACUUUUCUGACGGGCAGAACAGAGGGGAGAGAAACAGCAGCUCUGUGCUCUGCACCUCUGGACGUUGUGCUGCAUUUGUGGUCACUCUGUAUGAUUGAGUUGCAUAAUAUAUAUAACUGUUCACACUCAAGCUUCACUUGAGCUGUGUACAAACUCGAGGGCUGGAUCCUCCAUGUCAUCAUUGAGAGGAACAUUAAGGCAAUAUUUGUCAACUCAUAAAGUUUGGAAAUAUCACGUGAUAUCAUUUUUUUUUUUUUACCAGGCUUUGCUUUCAGGUAGAUCAACCUGUGAUCCAAACAAACACUGCCACGCGUCAGAUAUGAACCUAUGACUUCCAUUACUGUGUAAAAAGACUUGUAAGAAUGUGACUUAUAUGCUAUUUGCUGUACUUUUUCGCCAGUUGACCAUCACUUGCCAAACAUCCACCCUUGCCCCCUGCAUUUUUUGUCUAUUCUAAGAAACAAUAUUUGACUUUAUGUGUCAAUGAGAAGUGCUUGCAUGAACACUUUCCUGCUUCAGAGGCCACAGGCCACGUACAGCCCCGGCUGCAGCCCAGCUAUUGAUCAGGAAGUGAUUAGUCGACUUGAUCACGCAUUCUAGAAAUGUAAUAGCCUCUCCAGAAACAUUUAGUGGAAACGCUGUACAUGCAUCAUCAUAUGAUCAAAAUGAUUAUACAGCCGUUUCGAUUAAGAAGAAAAUCAAUCAGUCUGAGACAGUGAAAAAGAGAAAUGGUCCUCUGCACUACUUGGAAAAUAAAAUACAUGGCAACUCAUGAUUAAAUUUACUACGGAA
Scophthalmus maximus (turbot) is the source of this 1317-nucleotide long non-coding RNA. RefSeq lists it as uncharacterized. The record is from RefSeq and is a predicted model, not a curated record. Lineage: Eukaryota; Metazoa; Chordata; Actinopteri; Pleuronectiformes; Scophthalmidae. The transcript has 2 exons.